UACAGAGGGUGCAAGCGUUGUUCGGAAUUACUGGGCGUAAAGGGCGCGUAGGCGGCCUGCUAAGUCACACGUGAAAUCCCUCGGCUCAACCGGGGAACUGCGUGUGAUACUGGCGGGCUUGAAUUCGGGAGAGGGAUGUGGAAUUCCAGGUGUAGCGGUGAAAUGCGUAGAUAUCUGGAGGAACACCGGUGGCGAAGGCGGCAUCCUGGACCGAGAUUGACGCUGAGGCGCGAAAGCUAGGGGAGCAAACGGG
RNAcentral lists this ribosomal RNA (253 nucleotides) under uncultured bacterium. RNAcentral describes it as "partial 16S ribosomal RNA". It matches the Rfam family "Bacterial small subunit ribosomal RNA", at positions 524 to 776 of the family's 1533-position model. The record is from RNAcentral.